GAGUUUGAUCCUGGCUCAGGACGAACGCUGGCGGCAUGCCUAACACAUGCAAGUCGAACGGAGUUGUUAUUCAGAAGUUCUUCGGGAUGGAAGGAUAAGAACUUAGUGGCGGACGGGUGAGUAACGCGUGGGUAACCUGCCCUUUUGUGGGGAACAACUUCGAGAAAUCGGAGCUAAUACCGCAUAAUAAUAGAGGAUCGCAUGAUUCUUUAAGGAAAGAUGGCCUCUGAAGAUGCUAUCGCAAAAGGAUGGACCCGCGUCUGAUUAGCUAGUUGGAAGGGUAACGGCCUACCAAGGCAACGAUCAGUAGCCGGCCUGAGAGGGUGAACGGCCACAUUGGGACUGAGACACGGCCCAAACUCCUACGGGAGGCAGCAGUGGGGAAUCUUCCGCAAUGGGCGAAAGCCUGACGGAGCAAUGCCGCGUGAGUGAAGAAGGCCUUCGGGUUGUAAAACUCUGUCCUUAUCGAAGAGAGGUAGGUAUGUGAAUAAUGUACCUAUAGGACGGUAGAUAAGGAGGAAGCCCCGGCUAACUACGUGCCAGCAGCCGCGGUAAUACGUAGGGGGCGAGCGUUGUCCGGAAUCACUGGGCGUAAAGGGCGCGUAGGCGGUUUAAUAAGUCAGUGGUGAAAACUGAGGGCUCAACCCUCAGCCUGCCACUGAUACUGUUAGACUUGAGUAUGG
This 683-nucleotide ribosomal RNA is filed under the name uncultured bacterium. RNAcentral describes it as "bacterial SSU rRNA". It matches the Rfam family "Bacterial small subunit ribosomal RNA", at positions 9 to 651 of the family's 1533-position model. The record is from RNAcentral.